This 80-nucleotide transfer RNA is filed under the name Lachnospiraceae bacterium. RNAcentral's name for it is "tRNA-Leu". It matches the Rfam family "tRNA". Rfam says of the family: Transfer RNA (tRNA) molecules are approximately 80 nucleotides in length. Their secondary structure includes four short double-helical elements and three loops (D, anti-codon, and T loops). Further hydrogen bonds mediate the characteristic L-shaped molecular structure. tRNAs have two regions of fundamental functional importance: the anti-codon, which is responsible for specific mRNA codon recognition, and the 3' end, to which the tRNAs corresponding amino acid is attached (by aminoacyl-tRNA synthetases). tRNAs cope with the degeneracy of the genetic code in two manners: having more than one tRNA (with a specific anti-codon) for a particular amino acid; and 'wobble' base-pairing, i.e. permitting non-standard base-pairing at the 3rd anti-codon position. Lineage: Bacteria; Bacillati; Bacillota; Clostridia; Lachnospirales; Lachnospiraceae. The record is from RNAcentral.
GCGGGUGUGGUGGAAUUGGCAGACACGCAAGAUUUAGGUUCUUGUGAGCGAUCGUGCAGGUUCAAGUCCUGUCACCCGCA